UGGUCCUGCACAUGCGCAAAGCCAAAUGUGAAGCCGCUGUCCGCUGAGUCAACAUGGAGCUGUUCCUGAGUUGGUGUUUUGAGGCAUUCGGUGCCCCUCGGCAGCGAUGGGGAAUAUGGCCGCAGCCAGGUCGCGCUUCCUCGUGGGGUACACCAUGUUGAAGGGGUGUCCAUUCCGUACGGAGGAUGAGAAAGCCUCUAAAGUCACAGGGCCGAGCGGUGGAGCUGUCUCACAGUUUGCUGCCCUUUAUCAUCUCCAAUAUGGAAAUUCUGGAGAUGCCCUGUGCUUCUGGGAGAUGUCUCUAGGGCAAAAGGGGAAGGAGUCGUGCUGCCCUUCACCUGGGAAUGCCUGCUUACACUUCAAAACCACGUUCAAAUAUCUCCUCCUCCAGGGAAUCCUCUGGAAAGAGGUAGAAGGCUUUGUGCCCUGCUGAAGGCCUUUCCAAAUCCUCAGGUGAAGAAGAUAUUUAUGGAUCACCAACCACUGCCCGUAGUACUUGAUGUUUGGUAAAACAGAAGAGCCACCAAAUCCCUAGCUUCAUGGACCUGGCAUGCUAAUUGUAAGCUGCAGACAUCGUGUUCCUUCAAAGUUCAAUAUUCAGCACAUAUCUCCUGAGGGACUGAAUAUUCAAAUGGACAAUGGCCAGACUAAAUACAUGGCAAUAGAACUCUGACCUACAACCUCUGACCUACAACCUCUGCAAGCAUGGGAAGCCAAACCACUACCUCUGCAGCAAUUCAUCUAGAUCAGGGGUGGGGAACCUCUGGCCCAAGAAAUUAUUUGGUGUAGCCCUGCCAAAGCCUCACCAAAGAGAAGCAGUUCCAGCCAUCACA
Molecule: long non-coding RNA, 833 nt
Organism: Miniopterus natalensis
Lineage: Eukaryota; Metazoa; Chordata; Mammalia; Chiroptera; Miniopteridae
Source: RefSeq, a predicted model, not a curated record